This is a non-coding RNA of Pelobates cultripes (western spadefoot toad), 1755 nucleotides long. Lineage: Eukaryota; Metazoa; Chordata; Amphibia; Anura; Pelobatidae. The record is from the annotation of a GenBank genome assembly.
GAGAGAAAAAAAAUAAAUGUGCCUUUUACUUUCUGCUACUAGCAGGCGAAAUGCAGUCACAUUAGCUAGACAGUGACUUGCAGAAACAUUUAUUUUAUCCACAAAAUGUCUGAUAGUGUGUCUGUCUGUGUAGUGGAUGCAGUGUGCUUGUUUAAGUAGUGGAUGCAGUGUGUGUGUGUGUGUAGUGCAGCCAUGUCAAACUAAUAUUUAUGUGGCCCGGGCCGCGGCGAGGGAGCCCUUAGUGUAAAAAACAGGUCGCAAGAGUAUUCUGAGAACGGACAGCAACUGAAAUAGCCUGCCCUUCGGUCUUUGUGUAUGGGUGUAUGGCUGUUGUGACGGAUUGCACUUCGCCACUAAGUUUUGGAGAGGACUACUUGCUAGCCUUUUACCUUUUGACUAUGGCCCCUGUGACUUAUUUUGUUCUAAGACAUUAUUUCUGCCUAUUGGUAUUGUGGACACUGGCUCUUUAAACUUCCUAAGUAGUCGAAAUGGCACUUCGGAUACAGCUGAAGUCGUCGAAGUGACCCCCAUUCAUAUAGUCGAACACUUGGCGAACACUCGAAUUCAUGGAACUCAAAUCAGACACGUGACAGCACGAACACCACUGAACUUUACCUUCGCCAUACUUCAACACUUUGACGGGAAUCGAAGUGCGUUCGACAAUUCGAACGCCACUUUAACUUUGACUAUUUGCAUGACCGGCCCCCGUUCGUGCAUUCGAACAGAACUUAGUAAUGGAAAUAGACCGGCCGCACAGCCUAAUUCUCUGGAACUGUUUUGGGCAUGAAAAUGUGCCUGCAGUCGGUCAAAUGUGACUUCCACAAAACUUUUGAACCCCUGCUCUUAUCUGGGUGAUUGUUCAAUAUGUUGUUCACCCAGGUCAGGGCUAUCCAGGGAUGUAUAAUUGUGGGGAUACGUGGUGUUGUGGUGACAUUCUGUCAUCAAACUAAUAUGGUGACCAGGGAUCAUGUGACCAAGCUCAUGUAUGCCUUUCUUACAGUGGGAUAAGCUUUACCUUUUGAUAUGGUAAUUGGGUAAUUCAAUACCUUUACAAGUCAGGAAAGAGGUAACCACUACCCCUAUCUCCAUUCCUCCCUGUUCCUUCUUGGCUGUGCUACUGAGCAGUCCCUUAAGCAGACAUGGCCUAAUUUCUAUCAUGGUGAACUGUGAGUGGGAUUUUAUAAGAUGUAGUUGUUAUUGUUAGUUAGGUUGUUGUUGCUGUUGUUGGUGGUAUAGUUAGGUAGAUUGUGUGUCAUUAUUUGUAUGUUGUUGUUGUUUUGUCUCUGAAUAAAUAUUUGUUAAAGUAGACGGACCACAGUUUAUAUGUGUAUGCGUACAUAAUCAUUUAUAGAGUUUGGUAAUUUACCACAGGUGUUUUGGGGUGUUUUCUGUGUUUUGGGUAAAAUGUUAUAUUUCCUGCCUGUGGAUAAUUAAGCUAUUCCAUUAGCUAGCUUAAUUAUAUCACAGGCAGAGGGGAGGGCUUGCUGACUGUAUGUGGGAGUGUUACUGUGUUAAUUAUUGUUCCCAUUGGUUUGUGUCCCUUUUGUCCCUGUGUUCCAUCAGGUCCAGGGGGUGUGCCUCUGGCCUGAAUAUGUGUAUAAAAGAAAUGCCUUUGUGCUCAUGAAAGAGACCUUCUUACCCGCAACUCGCAGCCUUGUCUCGUGUUGUAGGGAACAGCUAUAACUGCAAUAUCACUGCUAGCUCUUGUAAGAGCUCUCUUCAGCUAUACUCUCCUGGAGGAGAGGUCCUUCCCAC